Molecule: long non-coding RNA, 1865 nt
Organism: Sciurus carolinensis (gray squirrel)
Lineage: Eukaryota; Metazoa; Chordata; Mammalia; Rodentia; Sciuridae
Exons: 3
Source: RefSeq, a predicted model, not a curated record
CCUAGGCCUUUAUUUUUUAUUUUGAGGCAGCGUCUUUCUAAGGUGCUGAGGAUAGCUUUAAGCUUGGGCUCCUCCCGCAACAACCUCCCAAGUUGCUGGGAUUACAAGGCAUGUACCACUGCCUGUAAUAACUUGCAUUGCUAUUUGAAAGUAAGAUCAACUUCUGAAAUAGCAAAUGACUUCUUGCAAAGUUCAGAACAAAACAAAAUAUAAUCCUUCCUAGAUUUACAUAGAAUUUACACUCUUAGAAAACAAAGAAUAUAUUAAACCAAUACCCAAAGAUUAUUUAUACCUGUAAAACAGAUUCUAAGUUGGAAUGACUAUCGAUUGGUUUUGAAAAUCAUUUAAGAUAUGUUUCAGUUCUUCAUUUUCAUAUUCUGACACCAUGGUACAUAUACCAUUUCCAGAUCACUCCUACUGAAUGCCUAUAGGGCUCUUCAAUCAUCGUACUAAUCAAAUAUUGCACAACAGAUUUCCAAGGUGCUUAUACCACUCCUUUUGUAGCUAGGGCUAUGAUCUACACCAUGAAAAUCUUUGAAAGGCAUUAUACUAUACACUUGUCUUGAGACUUGGUUGAAAUUAGGCAAGAUAAUCAUGGUUUAAAAGUCUGAAGCCAUUUCACCAGAGUUAAGUAGCCCUGCCUACCUGCCAGUUGUCCAACCGAGCACAUAAUAUUCUCUUUGGCUUUGUUGUCAGAUAGGCUCUGGGCAUACUCCAGUUUCCAACCUUCCCACUUUAAUUCUGAUUCUCAGUGAUUUUUCGAUCAUUACACAUUUGAGAUUCAGAAUGCAAAAAACAACUAUGGCAUCUUUGUAUCUGGAUGCUAACUACAGAUGGGUGGAUUGAAAGUAUGGACCUGCUAUUCAUAAUUUGCCAUAAAUUAAUACAGCGGUCAAACGAUUUGUUGUUUUGCUUGGUUUCGCUUCAAGGCCAGUCCCUCGUAAACAAUUAUUUGGUCUGGAUUAUUUGUCCAGCCAUACCUAUCCUCUCAUACUUCUUUAGACGGAUACCAAAGAUUUCUCUUUCAUUUCCUUUGCCCCUGAGAAACCAUAUUUUGGUUAGUUUGGGCUAUCCAGCAUUAUAUCUCAGCUCCAAAUCAAAAUGCCAGACUCUGAAAGAAAUUUUCCCGGGAUCUCCACAAAUAAAAUGUGAACAUUUCGGCUUCAAUUGAAGCCAAACCUCUUCCUCCUCCACCCUUCUCUCCUUUCCUGCAGAAUCUUCAUGUCUUCUGUCUUUUAAGGAAGACACAGCUUUUUAAUUUUUCUCACAUUGUCCAGGAAUCUCCACCUGGAUCCUGGAUCCCUAACCUGUCUGCUUGGAACAAUUCACAUCUAGCAUUGCAUGUUGUCAUCUCAGAUCAAAUGACGCAAGCCCUACUACUAAGAAAUUUCAUCUAUUCAACCAACAAGGCAAGUGGAAUCCCAUCUGUUGCCGCAGACCCACCCCCGCCCCAGGCGCUGGUCUCACCUUCCAUUUGCCUGGACACUCUCCACAUCCAGACACCGGCCUCAUUCGGAAUGAGACUUUUCGCCCCCUAACCAGCAGGAAGAAGCUACAGAAGAAAGAUCGUCGUCCCACCCCUGGUAUCUAUAAAAACAAAAAGGGAGAAAUAUUGGCAUCAUAUCUGCUAUUUUGCUGCCACCAUUAUUCUGCCUCCCCUACAUCACUUUACAGCCCAGAUUGUUAGCCCUUGAACCUCCUAGUCAGUCAUUGGUUCAGAUUGUUAGCCCAUAAACUUCUAAGCCAGUCAUUGGUCCAUUGUUAUUAGCCAGUGAAAUUCCACUACUUAAGAUUGGCUCCCCCACCAUUUUCUCUCUCUCUUCUCAUUCUUGCUCCCUUUCUCACUCGCACUCUCUCUCCUCCUC